AGUGAACGCUGGCGGUAGGCCUAACACAUGCAAGACGAACGGCAGCACAGUAAGAGCUUGCUCUUACGGGUGGCGAGUGGCGGACGGGUGAGGAAUACAUCGGAAUCUACUUUUUCGUGGGGGAUAACGUAGGGAAACUUACGCUAAUACCGCAUACGACCUACGGGUGAAAGCAGGGGAUCUUCGGACCUUGCGCGAUUGAAUGAGCCGAUGUCGGAUUAGCUAGUUGGCGGGGUAAAGGCCCACCAAGGCGACGAUCCGUAGCUGGUCUGAGAGGAUGAUCAGCCACACUGGAACUGAGACACGGUCCAGACUCCUACGGGAGGCAGCAGUGGGGACUAUUGGACAAUGGGCGCAAGCCUGAUCCAGCCAUACCGCGUGGGUGAAGAAGGCCUUCGGGUUGUAAAGCCCUUUUGUUGGGAAAGAAAAGCAGCAGGUUAAUACCCCGCUGUUCUGACGGUACCCAAAGAAUAAGCACCGGCUAACUUCGUG
Molecule: ribosomal RNA, 492 nt
Filed under: uncultured bacterium
Lineage: Bacteria
Description: partial 16S ribosomal RNA
Rfam family: Bacterial small subunit ribosomal RNA
Source: RNAcentral